RNAcentral lists this ribosomal RNA (442 nucleotides) under uncultured bacterium. RNAcentral's name for it is "partial 16S ribosomal RNA". It matches the Rfam family "Bacterial small subunit ribosomal RNA", at positions 338 to 795 of the family's 1533-position model. The record is from RNAcentral.
CCUACGGGAGGCUGCAGUGGGGAAUAUUGGGCAAUGGGCGAAAGCCUGACCCAGCAACGCCGCGUGAAGGAAGAAGGCUUUCGGGUUGUAAACUUCUUUUGACAGGGAAGAGCAGAAGACGGUACCUGUCGAAUAAUCCACGGCUAACUACGUGCCAGCAGCCGCGGUCAUACGUGGGUGGCAAGCGUUGUCCGGAUUUACUGGGUGUAACGGGCGUGUAGCCGGGCUGACAAGUCAGAUGUGAAAUCCGGGGGCUCAACCCCCGAACUGCAUUUGAAACUGUUGGUCUUGAGUAUCGGAGAGGCAGGCGGAAUUCCUAGUGUAGAGGUGAAAUGCGUAGAUAUUAGGAGGAACACCAGUGGCGAAGGCGGCCUGCUGGACGACAACUGACGGUGAGGCGCGAAAGCGUGGGGAGCAAACAGGAUUAGAUACCCCAGUAGUC